GGCCUGAGCUACGUGCGCCCGUAAAACCGCUAGUAGCCGGGCCCUACUUUCUCCCCGCUUUUUUUUUUCCGCAGCCGCCUGGUUCAACUGGGCACGCACCGAGCGUGUGGGCCCCGACGUAGGGGGGAAGGGACUGAGAUUGGCCCGAUGGGAGGUGAUCGGUGCUGGUUCCCAGGACUGGACUGUGGGCAGCAGGACACUAGGGAGUCAAGGACGGGGACCCUUACACGCUUGGAUGAAACAGGAGGACUUUGGGAACGACUGAGAUGGGGAAUUGGAGCCGGAGCCCAGCACCGCUCGCGGCUGCACGCGGCCUGCCCCCUCCCCUUUCUUUCUUUCAAAGGCUGAGAGGCGGGAAAGUUGGGGAACUUCUCCUCGAGGCUCUGCGGUAGUGACACCGGACUGCUCAGGCAAAGGCCUAGGAGGGGCCCAUGGGCCUCGGGCGGGGGCCCGUGGUUCCUUCCCAGCCCCCACUUCCCCCUCCCCAUCUCCUGGCUCCUGGCAUCUCUGGGACCGAGGCCUGGGCUGGGCACUGGGCACUGGGCACUGGGGGCCUGGAGAGGAAGGAGGCUCGGGAGGCGGCUUGAGGGGGAGGGGGAGGUUUCUGCACGGAAGGUCACGAUGUCCUGCAGCCCUGUAGCCUGGACCUGAUAAUUAGGGCAGACAAUCCCGGCCCUGUGUGCACCAGCGGCUCUCUCCGGGCUGGGGCCCCAGGCGGAGGACAGGAUGGCUGGUGGGGGCCCAGAGGCCUCCCACAAAGGCACUCCUGGAAACCUGUGGGCUGUGCUGCCUAGGGAGAGAGACAGUGUGCCUUUCAUUCCAUCCAGCCUGGGGCGAAGAGCGGGACGUGAGGGCGGAAGUCCCUCCCCGCCCUGGGACGUGCAGGCGAGCCAGGAGCCAGGGACUCCCUUUCACUGGCUGCGCCGGGGGAUAUUGAGGGCAGGCACCCACAGGACUCCAGUCCCUGACCCUGCCUUUCUGGGAUUGCCUUUCCUGCUGGGACCCAGAGCCAGGCUGUGUCCUCGUCUGGCUGCCACUGGCAUGGUUGGUGCGGGCUUUUCACAAUGACCACCCAGAGCAGAGUAGCAAGAGCAAGGCAAGAAGGUCCCUAAUGGUGAAAGGGGUGGGGUGGGGGAGUGGAGGAAGCCCCACCUCUGACUCAGCUAUUCCUGCAACCAGGACCGUUAACCCUUUCUCAUUGAGAGCAUUAAGAGCACCUCCAUGCUCCUGCACCACCCAAGCGUGAUCUUCCCCUCUGCCUCAUGCUUGUCAUUUUUCAUUACUGUCUUCUCCCCGCAAAGAGGGAGCUCAGUGCCCAGGGAGCACUACUGACGUAGUGUGCUGUUGUCAUGACAGCAGAGGCACCAGUGUGGUCACGACAGCCAGCUCACAGCCUCCGGUUCGAAGGUGACUCAGCAGAGAAGACUUGAGGAGCUGGAGAGGGGUGCGCAGGCUUCAGGGGGCAGCCCGCCUGCAGCAUAGCUCACGCCCUCUGCAGACCCGGGAACAAUGAGGAAUGCUGGGAGACAGGUCUUGUCUCCUGCAGAGCUGGAGGGGAUCAUGAUCUGAACUUCCACGAGCCUGGGCCGGUCUGCUGCCAACCUUUGGAGAUGGGAUUAGGGAACACGAGUGGGGGUGGGGUGAGGCACACGGCAGAAAGCAACCCUUGGUCUAGAGCAGGUUUUCUCAACUGUGACGCUAUUGACAUUGUGGGCCGUGUGAUUCUUUGUUGAGGGGCCAUCCUGUGCACUGCAGGAUGUUGAGCCACAUCCCUGGCCUCUUCCCACAAAUGCUGGUAGCAUUCUUCCCCUAUAGGCUAUGACAACAAAACAGGCCCCAGGUGUUGUCAGAUGUCCUCUGGCAGACAAAAUUGCCCCCGGUUCAGAAGCACUGAUCUGGAGCCUAGGCACUGCAUAAUUCUCCCCAGAGAGGCUGUCUGGUCACUGUGCAGGGUCCAGAGGUUGAGAGGGGAAAGGUGGCAGUGACGGGGCAGGAAGCUCAUCUGCCAUCCCGGGACAGGCCCUAGGACUCUGGGCUCACUCAUCUCUCUCUGCACUGAUAACCCUCUCUCUGCUGCAUGAAACUGGGCUAAUGUGAAAGAUGAAACAAAGACAAGCUUAGGAAAAAAUGUCUAAAAGUAUAUAAAAACAUUUAUUCAUUAGAAAACAAGGA
Molecule: long non-coding RNA, 2172 nt
Organism: Homo sapiens (human)
Lineage: Eukaryota; Metazoa; Chordata; Mammalia; Primates; Hominidae
Gene: GAPDH-DT
Product: GAPDH divergent transcript
Exons: 2
Source: RefSeq, a predicted model, not a curated record